GAUGAACGCUGGCGGCGUGCCUAAUACAUGCAAGUCGAGCGAACAGACGAGGAGCUUGCUCCUCUGACGUUAGCGGCGGACGGGUGAGUAACACGUGGAUAACCUACCUAUAAGACUGGGAUAACUUCGGGAAACCGGAGCUAAUACCGGAUAACAUGCUGCACCGCAUGGUUCAACAGUGAAAGACGGUUUUGCUGUCACUUAUAGAUGGAUCCGAGCCUGAUUAGCUAGUUGGUAGGGUAACGGCUUACCAAGGCAACGAUGCGUAGCCGGCAUGAGAGGGUGACCGGACACAUUGGGACUGAGAUACGGACCAGACUGGUACGGGAGGAAGCAGUGGGGAAUAUUGAACAAUGGGAGGAAGAAUGAUGCAGCAACGAAGUGUGCGGGAUGACGGCAGUAGGGUUGUAAACCGCUUUCGCCUGUGACGAAGCGUGAGUGACGGUAAUGGGUAAAGAAGCACCGGCUAACUACGUG
This 477-nucleotide ribosomal RNA is filed under the name uncultured bacterium. RNAcentral's name for it is "partial 16S ribosomal RNA". It matches the Rfam family "Bacterial small subunit ribosomal RNA", at positions 28 to 507 of the family's 1533-position model. The record is from RNAcentral.